UACGUAGGGAGCAAGCGUUGUCCGGAAUCAUUGGGCGUAAAGCGCGCGUAGGUGGCUUCGUAAGUCCGUUGUGAAAGUCAAAGGCUCAACCUUUGAAAGCCGAUGGAUACUGCGGAGCUAGAGUACGGAAGAGGCGAGUGGAAUUCCUGGUGCAGCGGUGAAAUGCGCAGAUAUCAGGAGGAACACCAAUUGCGAAGGCAGCUCGCUGGGACGUAACUGACGCUGAGACGCGAAAGCGUGGGGAGCAAACAGG
RNAcentral lists this ribosomal RNA (253 nucleotides) under uncultured bacterium. RNAcentral describes it as "partial 16S ribosomal RNA". It matches the Rfam family "Bacterial small subunit ribosomal RNA", at positions 524 to 776 of the family's 1533-position model. The record is from RNAcentral.